Molecule: unclassified non-coding RNA, 187 nt
Filed under: soil metagenome
Description: partial internal transcribed spacer 1
Source: RNAcentral
CAGAGUUGCAAAACUCCCACAAACCAUCGCGAAUCUUACCCGUACGGUUGCCUCGGCGCUGGCGGUCCGGAAGGCCCUCGGGCCCCCGGAUCCUCGGGUCUCCCGCUCGCGGGAGGCUGCCCGCCGGAGUGCCGAAACUAAACUCUUGAUAUCUUAUGUCUCUCUGAGUACACUUUUAAAUAAGUUA